CUAAAUUCUGAAGGAAAGUGAAGUCUCAAGUUUGCCCACCCCUGCUCUUGUUAGUACAAUGUCUCUCCUUAAGAACUUUCCUAUUUAGCUUCAUCAGAGUUGCCAAGUCAGCUUAUUAUACGCGACUUUGGGCUUCUUUUUUUGUAAAGUUGAAUAUUCAAAUUUGCAGAAAACUAAACCCUAAAAUUAGAAAACCUCUAAAUUUGGAAGAUCUGCACAGAUUUGACGCUGAAACAAACAAGCAGGGGACAAUAAAAGCAUAAAUACUUUUUGGGAAAUAUCAUGCCUAUGUAGCCAAUGCAAAAAUAGCCUAAUUAAGUCAAUAAUGAAUUAAUAAUAAUACAGAAAGAAAGAAAUUAACUAAUAAAAUAACAAUAAAACCGUAUCUUUCUAUCUGUAUAGACAUGACAUGAACAGAUACAUACACGAUGUUUAUGCAACAUAUUAUUGAAACCGGUCUGUCUGGGUGUCUGCGCGUUCGCUCUUUCUGACCGUGUCUAAAAACUUAGUGAGCUCCCUACGUAGAAAGCAUCGUUAGAUAUCACACGCGCGUUCCGAACGGUUUUUUUUUAGCAGCUCGUUAGGUAUUGAUACGCAGCCUUUCUCCAGUGCAGCAUCCGCCAUAUUGUCUACCAGGAGACGCCGAGAGCAUCUGGAGGGCCAUGAGGAAUGACUUCUAGGAUUGCUGUGUCUCCUGAAUAAGCUCCUGGAUGUCCUCUUUCAUUCAAAUUACAAUCAGCCUAUGCUCCACCAUAAAGUCAUCACAUCUGCCUUCAUCAGCUCCACCUUUCAUUUGCUGCUUGGAGGAACCCUCCAAGGUAAUAACCCGUACAAUCUCCUUUUCCAUCUGUCCAAUCCUAUUCUGCUCACAGGUGA
Molecule: long non-coding RNA, 876 nt
Filed under: Sinocyclocheilus grahami
Lineage: Eukaryota; Metazoa; Chordata; Actinopteri; Cypriniformes; Cyprinidae
Description: lncRNA (ENSSGRG00000000666.1)
Source: RNAcentral